Chenopodium quinoa (quinoa) is the source of this 1359-nucleotide long non-coding RNA. RefSeq lists it as uncharacterized. Lineage: Eukaryota; Viridiplantae; Streptophyta; Magnoliopsida; Caryophyllales; Amaranthaceae. The transcript is spliced from 4 exons. The record is from RefSeq and is a predicted model, not a curated record.
UUUGGUACGAAAAUAUAAAAACCCUUAGUACAAAAGUAAGGAAACAAGUACUACGUAGUAUAAUGAGUUGUUGCCGCGCGCCAAAAAAACACAAUAAACAAUUAUAUCACUCCUUCCUAAAAAACAUAAAAUUACAUCACUCCUUAUUUUCGUGCUACUCGAUACUCUUCAUCCAUCCUCACCAAAAGAAACGAAAAACAAAGGGAAAACGAAGCCAGAACAGUUCAAUUCAGAACUUCAGAUCAAACCAUCGUCGUCCUCAUCUGUCGCCGUUGCGCCAUCCAUCUCCUCCCCGACCUGAGUUCGAUGCUAAGGCUAGGAGAGAAUUUGACCAAAAAGCUGGGGACCGACUUAGGGGCACAUUGAACCAAGUUUAAAAAAUAGCUCUCCAUAAGCAAGUUAGUUUCAUGACUGACACUGUUCGAGCUGAAUUCAUAAAUAAGCGUAAGCAUCCUGAUUUUGUAAAACGUUCUAACCAAGCAAGAGAUAAUCGGUUAUCUGGCCAAACAUUAGAGAAGUUUGACCCUGGCCAUCGCCAAGGUGGCGUAUCUACUCCUCAAGUGGUUAAAAAAAUGGCAAAGAAAAAGAAUGGAAUUUUACCAACUGCUGCAUGCUGAAGUCUAUGAGAGCACUCAUUCUGCUUGUGUGGGCAAUGAUGAAGUUGAAUUGAUGGGUGACAAUUCUCAAAAAGUCAUGGAGAAUAUAUGGAAAAACUUGAGGAAUAUAAGAACAAAGGAAUUGAGAUAAACCCCGACAAAGUCUACUUAGAGGUUGUAGGUGGGAAAAAGAAAGGAAAAGUCUACGGUUUAGGGAGUGCUUCACAAAUAUAUUACAAGAGCGAUCCUACUUCUCAAUCUACUGCAUCAUCUUCCACUCCUUCCAUGAUUUCUCAAUUAAGUUCUCAAGUUGAAGAACUAAAGAAGAUGGCGGAAGAAAACCAUAACAAGGUGGAAGAAAGCCAAAAAAUAGCGGUAGAGAGCUUAAAAUGUGCUAAGGAAUUCGUCGAAAAUCAUGAGAUCGAAAAAGCUACAUGGAAGAAGGAAAAAUUAGCUAUGCAAAAAACAUUGCAGGAAAUGGCAUCACUUGUAAAACAAGUUUACCGUCCUUAUAAGCCUCCUACGCCUGCAGUCACCCGCUCUCGUGAUACAACUAAGUGAUUUUUAUUUUUUUGGUGGUAAUUUUAUGAACUCGUCUUUUACAUUGUCAUUACUUCUUAUUUGAAGCAUCAUUUUUUAUAUGGGAGGUGACUUUUGGAACAAUUAGUCAUAUGAGUUAAAUAUUGUUUUUUAAUACAUUGAUACAAAAUUGAUUAUAUUUUGGAUAUUUGAAUAAAAUUAACAUUUUGGUUAUUUGAAUUUA